UCAGUCGUGGCCAAGUAGUUAAGGCGAUGGACUAGACAUCCUUUGGGGUCUCCCCGCACAGGUUCGAAUCCUGUUGACUGCG
Non-coding RNA from Ixodes scapularis (black-legged tick), 82 nucleotides. The record is from Rfam. Lineage: Eukaryota; Metazoa; Arthropoda; Arachnida; Ixodida; Ixodidae.